AAGUGGGAAGCCCACCUCAAGAUUAGAUAUCCCUCUAUCGCAAGAUAGACUGAAGUUUCCUCAAAGAUCAUGAGGUAGAUAGGCGAGGGGUGUAAGCAUGGCAACAUGUUCAGCCUACUCGUACUAAUCAAACGUGAGCCUUAACCAU
Molecule: ribosomal RNA, 148 nt
Filed under: Spirochaetia bacterium
Lineage: Bacteria; Pseudomonadati; Spirochaetota; Spirochaetia
Description: partial 23S ribosomal RNA
Rfam family: Bacterial large subunit ribosomal RNA
Source: RNAcentral